UACGGGGGGGGCAAGCGUUGUUCGGAAUUACUGGGCGUAAAGGGCUCGUAGGCGGCCAACUAAGUCAGACGUGAAAUCCCUCGGCUUAACCGGGGAACUGCGUCUGAUACUGGAUGGCUUGAGUUUGGGAGAGGGAUGCGGAAUUCCAGGUGUAGCGGUGAAAUGCGUAGAUAUCUGGAGGAACACCGGUGGCGAAGGCGGCAUCCUGGACCAACACUGACGCUGAGGAGCGAGAGCCAGGGGAGCAAACGGG
Molecule: ribosomal RNA, 253 nt
Filed under: uncultured bacterium
Lineage: Bacteria
Description: partial 16S ribosomal RNA
Rfam family: Bacterial small subunit ribosomal RNA
Source: RNAcentral